AUUGAACGCUGGCGGCAUGCCUUACACAUGCCAGUCGAACGGUAACGGGCCUUCGGGUGCCGACGAGUGGCGAACGGGUGAGUAAUACAUCGGAACGUGCCCGAUCGUGGGGGAUAACGAGGCGAAAGCUUUGCUAAUACUGCAUACGAUCUACGGAUGAAAGCAGGGGACCGCAAGGCCUUGCGCGGACGGAGCGGCCGAUGGCAGAUUAGGUAGUUGGUGGGAUAAAAGCUUACCAAGCCGACGAUCUGUAGCUGGUCUGAGAGGAUGAUCAGCCACACUGGGACUGAGACACGGCCCAGACUCCUACGGGAGGCAGCAGUGGGGAAUUUUGGACAAUGGGCGCAAGCCUGAUCCAGCCAUGCCGCGUGCAGGAUGAAGGCCUUCGGGUUGUAAACUGCUUUUGUACGGAACGAAAAGCCUUCUUUUAAUACAGGAGGGUCAUGACGGUACCGUAAGAAUAAGCACCGGCUAACUACGUG
RNAcentral lists this ribosomal RNA (482 nucleotides) under uncultured bacterium. RNAcentral's name for it is "partial 16S ribosomal RNA". It matches the Rfam family "Bacterial small subunit ribosomal RNA", at positions 30 to 507 of the family's 1533-position model. The record is from RNAcentral.